Esox lucius (northern pike) is the source of this 644-nucleotide long non-coding RNA. RefSeq lists it as uncharacterized. The record is from RefSeq and is a predicted model, not a curated record. Lineage: Eukaryota; Metazoa; Chordata; Actinopteri; Esociformes; Esocidae. The transcript is spliced from 3 exons.
UUAUAUGUAGUUGCUAUAUCAUGAUGUCAAUUGCUUGUAAAACAUGUUUGUUAGAUAUAUUUUAGGGCUACUCAUUUCCUAUCUUUUAGUCCGCCAGAAGACAUCAAUGCGUAUCAGUUGUGAGGAUAUUUCAGAUCUUGCCUGCUACCUCUUGCAGAUCGGACAAAAAAGAGAAAUGGAAGCUGUUGUCGUGUUCAUCAUCCAGGGCUGUGGUCAGGGCCGUGUUCGUCACCCAGGGCCGUGAUCAUCAUCAUCAUCCAGGGCUGAGGUCAGAGCCGUGAUCAUCAUCAUCCAGGGCUGAGGUCAGAGCCGUGAUCAUCAUCAUCCAGGGCUGUGGUCAGGGCCGUGUUCGUCAUCCAGAUACAUGCAAGCCCUGUCGACCUGUGAGACACACAGAGCCACCCACGCAGCUGGCAGUUCUGUGAGCCCUGCUUUUAGAGCCGCUCCAGAGGUCAUCCUCUGUCUGCUAACACAAAUCAUUGAGUUCUAAACAGAGCCGAGAAGAGAGAUGGGAUCUUUUAAACCUAUUAUACAAUGUAUUUUAGAGCACGGCAAACAUGAUUGCAUGGUUUUAAACACACAGUCAGAUUAACAAAUGCCCUAAAUCAGUCGGAAUUUGAAUAACAAGCUUCUUUUUUCCCUAG